RNAcentral lists this ribosomal RNA (2933 nucleotides) under Enterobacter cloacae complex sp. RNAcentral's name for it is "23S ribosomal RNA". It matches the Rfam family "Bacterial large subunit ribosomal RNA". The record is from RNAcentral. Lineage: Bacteria; Pseudomonadati; Pseudomonadota; Gammaproteobacteria; Enterobacterales; Enterobacteriaceae.
GGGUUGUGAGGUUAAGCGACUAAGCGUACACGGUGGAUGCCCUGGCAGUCAGAGGCGAUGAAGGACGUGCUAAUCUGCGAAAAGCGCCGGCGAGGUGAUAUGAACCUUUGACCCGGCGAUGUCCGAAUGGGGAAACCCAGUGCAAUUCGUUGCACUAUCGUUAACUGAAUACAUAGGUUAACGAGGCGAACCGGGGGAACUGAAACAUCUAAGUACCCCGAGGAAAAGAAAUCAACCGAGAUUCCCCCAGUAGCGGCGAGCGAACGGGGAGCAGCCCAGAGUCUGAAUCAGCUUGUGUGUUAGUGGAAGCGUCUGGAAAGUCGCACGGUACAGGGUGACAGUCCCGUACACGAAAGCACACAGGCUGUGAACUCGAAGAGUAGGGCGGGACACGUGGUAUCCUGUCUGAAUAUGGGGGGACCAUCCUCCAAGGCUAAAUACUCCUGACUGACCGAUAGUGAACCAGUACCGUGAGGGAAAGGCGAAAAGAACCCCGGCGAGGGGAGUGAAAAAGAACCUGAAACCGUGUACGUACAAGCAGUGGGAGCACCUUCGUGGUGUGACUGCGUACCUUUUGUAUAAUGGGUCAGCGACUUAUAUUCUGUAGCAAGGUUAACCGUAUAGGGGAGCCGAAGGGAAACCGAGUCUUAACUGGGCGUUAAGUUGCAGGGUAUAGACCCGAAACCCGGUGAUCUAGCCAUGGGCAGGUUGAAGGUUGGGUAACACUAACUGGAGGACCGAACCGACUAAUGUUGAAAAAUUAGCGGAUGACUUGUGGCUGGGGGUGAAAGGCCAAUCAAACCGGGAGAUAGCUGGUUCUCCCCGAAAGCUAUUUAGGUAGCGCCUCGUGAAUUCAUCUUCGGGGGUAGAGCACUGUUUCGGCUAGGGGGCCAUCCCGGCUUACCAACCCGAUGCAAACUACGAAUACCGAAGAAUGUUAUCACGGGAGACACACGGCGGGUGCUAACGUCCGUCGUGAAGAGGGAAACAACCCAGACCGCCAGCUAAGGUCCCAAAGUCAUGGUUAAGUGGGAAACGAUGUGGGAAGGCACAGACAGCCAGGAUGUUGGCUUAGAAGCAGCCAUCAUUUAAAGAAAGCGUAAUAGCUCACUGGUCGAGUCGGCCUGCGCGGAAGAUGUAACGGGGCUAAACCAUGCACCGAAGCUGCGGCAGCGACGCUUAUGCGUUGUUGGGUAGGGGAGCGUUCUGUAAGCCGUUGAAGGUGGCCUGUGAGGGUUGCUGGAGGUAUCAGAAGUGCGAAUGCUGACAUAAGUAACGAUAAAGCGGGUGAAAAGCCCGCUCGCCGGAAGACCAAGGGUUCCUGUCCAACGUUAAUCGGGGCAGGGUGAGUCGACCCCUAAGGCGAGGCCGAAAGGCGUAGUCGAUGGGAAACAGGUUAAUAUUCCUGUACUUGGUGUUACUGCGAAGGGGGGACGGAGAAGGCUAUGUUAGCCGGGCGACGGUUGUCCCGGUUUAAGCAUGUAGGCGGAGGUUCCAGGUAAAUCCGGUACCUUAUUAACGCUGAGGUGUGAUGACGAGGCACUACGGUGCUGAAGUAACAAAUGCCCUGCUUCCAGGAAAAGCCUCUAAGCAUCAGGUAACAUCAAAUCGUACCCCAAACCGACACAGGUGGUCAGGUAGAGAAUACCAAGGCGCUUGAGAGAACUCGGGUGAAGGAACUAGGCAAAAUGGUGCCGUAACUUCGGGAGAAGGCACGCUGAUAUGUAGGUGAAGCCCCUGCGGGUGGAGCUGAAAUCAGUCGAAGAUACCAGCUGGCUGCAACUGUUUAUUAAAAACACAGCACUGUGCAAACACGAAAGUGGACGUAUACGGUGUGACGCCUGCCCGGUGCCGGAAGGUUAAUUGAUGGGGUUAGCGGCAACGCGAAGCUCUUGAUCGAAGCCCCGGUAAACGGCGGCCGUAACUAUAACGGUCCUAAGGUAGCGAAAUUCCUUGUCGGGUAAGUUCCGACCUGCACGAAUGGCGUAAUGAUGGCCAGGCUGUCUCCACCCGAGACUCAGUGAAAUUGAACUCGCUGUGAAGAUGCAGUGUACCCGCGGCAAGACGGAAAGACCCCGUGAACCUUUACUAUAGCUUGACACUGAACACUGGUCCUUGAUGUGUAGGAUAGGUGGGAGGCUUUGAAGCGUGGACGCCAGUCUGCGUGGAGCCGUCCUUGAAAUACCACCCUUUAAUGGCUGGUGUUCUAACGUAGACCCGUGAUCCGGGUUGCGGACAGUGUCUGGUGGGUAGUUUGACUGGGGCGGUCUCCUCCCAAAGAGUAACGGAGGAGCACGAAGGUUAGCUAAUCCUGGUCGGACAUCAGGAGGUUAGUGCAAUGGCAUAAGCUAGCUUGACUGCGAGAGUGACGGCUCGAGCAGGUGCGAAAGCAGGUCAUAGUGAUCCGGUGGUUCUGAAUGGAAGGGCCAUCGCUCAACGGAUAAAAGGUACUCCGGGGAUAACAGGCUGAUACCGCCCAAGAGUUCAUAUCGACGGCGGUGUUUGGCACCUCGAUGUCGGCUCAUCACAUCCUGGGGCUGAAGUAGGUCCCAAGGGUAUGGCUGUUCGCCAUUUAAAGUGGUACGCGAGCUGGGUUUAGAACGUCGUGAGACAGUUCGGUCCCUAUCUGCCGUGGGCGCUGGAGAAUUGAGGGGGGCUGCUCCUAGUACGAGAGGACCGGAGUGGACGCAUCACUGGUGUUCGGGUUGUCAUGCCAAUGGCACUGCCCGGUAGCUAAAUGCGGAAAAGAUAAGUGCUGAAAGCAUCUAAGCACGAAACUUGCCCCGAGAUGAGUUCUCCCUGAGACUUUAAGUCUCCUGAAGGAACGUUGAAGACGACGACGUUGAUAGGUCGGGUGUGUAAGCGCAGCGAUGCGUUGAGCUAACCGAUACUAAUGAACCGUGAGGCUUAACCUUACAACGCCGAAGGUGUUU